RNAcentral lists this ribosomal RNA (350 nucleotides) under uncultured rumen bacterium. RNAcentral's name for it is "bacterial SSU rRNA". It matches the Rfam family "Bacterial small subunit ribosomal RNA", at positions 19 to 363 of the family's 1533-position model. The record is from RNAcentral.
UUGGCUCAGGAUGAACGCUGGCGGCAGGCUUAACACAUGCAAGUCGAGGGGCAGCGCGAGGGUAGCAAUACCUUUGGCUGCGACCGGCGCACUGGUGAGUAACACGUAUGCGACCUGCCCCGGACAGGGGGAUAAACCCGGGAAACUGGGCCUAAUACCCCAUAUGCCUCGAGGACGCAUGUCCCUGAGGUGAAAGAUCCGUCGGUCCGGGAUGGGCAUGCGGCGCAUUAGCUUGUUGGCGGGGUAACGGCCCACCAAGGCGACGAUGCGUAGGGGUUCUGAGAGGAAGGUCCCCCACACUGGUACUGAGACACGGACCAGACUCCUACGGGAGGCAGCAGUGGGGAAUA